RNAcentral lists this long non-coding RNA (1780 nucleotides) under Mus spicilegus (steppe mouse). RNAcentral's name for it is "lncRNA (ENSMSIG00000012142.1)". Lineage: Eukaryota; Metazoa; Chordata; Mammalia; Rodentia; Muridae. The record is from RNAcentral.
UCCCCCCCUCUUUCCCUUCUUUUCUUGUGAUGCCAAGAACAGAAUCUAGGACCUUGGGCAUGUGAUUUGCUGCAUGUCCUUUUGUGGCUCCAUAGCUUUUGAUAGCAAAAGGAACCUGGAGCAAGAAAAGAAGGACCACUUCUAGAAAACACAUAUGGGCACACCAUGUGUAGAGUUCAGUGUAGCAUCUUGUAAGAGGCUCAUGUUGACAUCUCCCAACUACUCCAAGAUGUCCACGUGCCACUGCUGGUAAGGGGUAUCUACCUGUCCCCUGUUCAGCAGUGUCACUCUCAGAUGACUGCCUGGUGCAGGCAUCAGCUCUGAGCAUAGUGGCUUUAGUGGGUGCCCCAUGCAGUUUGUCCCAGGACAUUUGACUGAGGACUUAGGAUUGUUGAAGAUGCUCUUAUCACCAUGGAAACUAAGCAGAUGUUGGCAGGUGGUGAUGGUUUUUUGGAGCUGAUGAAGAGACCACACUGCCUUUCUUCAGAACCAUGCCAACUCCCAGAGCUGUUCAAAGCCCACCGCCCAGAAGGAGAGGCAGUAUGGACUGCAGCGUGCCAUGAGACAGGAAGUGGCUCCUCAACAAACCUGAACAUUCGCAGAGGCAGGAGGGUCAUGCAGCUAUGGCCGGGAGAGUGGUUUCAGAGCUGUGUCACCGCUGUUCAAGAACUCACAAUAGAAGAUGCAGACACACACCUGCCAGGCAGGGAGCCAUGUCCGGGACCCCAAGGCCAAGUGAAUAGCUUCAGGAAGAUUUCACUUUCUGAGGAGCUCAGAUAGUAGUGCUGUGUGGCAGGCACUCACCUGGCUGCCUGCUCUGUGGCCCAGGCUCCGUGACCUCAGUCCAGCAAGGGCAGAGUGUGGAAUGCCACUCGGCCAUGGGAGUUUGGGAACCUUGAGAAAAAUGGUACCCAAGCUUUGUGACAGUCUACAGGUGCGCACUCGAGUGUGUGUGUGUGUGCGCAUGCAUGUGUGCCUACAUGUGUUUGUGUGUGUAUGUGCAUAUGUGUGUGGUGUGAAUGUGUGCAUGUGUGUGUGCAUGCACAUGCAUGCACGCCUGUGUGUGUUUCAUGUAUGUAUGUGCAUGUUUGUGUGGGGUGUAUUUGUGUUUGCAUAUGUGUGUGCGCGUGCGCGCUCACGUGCAUGCCAGAAAACAACCCUAGGUGUUGUUCCAUAGGCACUAUUCCUUCUUGUUGUUGUUUGUUUUUGUGGCAAGGUCUCUCAAUGGCCUGGAACUCACCAAGUAGGCUAAGCUAGCGAUUCAGAGUCCAGUGCCCUUCUGUCUCUACCUUUCCAGUGCCCAGCUCUUUGUUUGUUUUGGCUUUUCAAGACAGGAUUUCUCUGUGUAGCCCUGGCUGUCUGGAACUCACUCUGUAGACCAGGCUGUUCUCAAACUUAUAGAGAUUCCCCUGCCUCUGCCUCCCGAGAGCUAGGAUUAAGGACAUGUGUCACUACCCCGACUUACCCAGUAAUUUGUCUAUGGGCUCUCAAGAGAUUUAAUUCGGUUCUUCCAGCUCAUCAGGCAAGUACUUCACAGACCGAGCCAGUGUCUUAGCCUUCGUCCCAUCCUCCAGCUACGUGGUGUGGAGACCAUGAUCCUAAUAUGUGUGCAUGCACUUAUUUUUAAUGAACCACACAUGAACAAACGCACCAAAAUAUCACACGGGCUGUGAGGCAAAGGAAAUGAAGGCACCGUUCACAUUCUAAAAAGGCCGAGGUUAGAAUGGAAACACUGUAAAACGGUUUCCCUCCCGCGCUAACACAUCCCUCAGGCAUGUGU